GGAUCUGUGGCGCAAUGGAUAGCGCGUUGGACUUCUAAUUCAAAGGUUGUGGGUUCGAGUCCCACCUAGAGUCG
RNAcentral lists this transfer RNA (74 nucleotides) under Gadus morhua (Atlantic cod). RNAcentral describes it as "tRNA-Arg (TCT) (tRNA-Arg-TCT-14-1)". The stretch from base 7 to 66 matches the Rfam family "tRNA", at positions 7 to 64 of the family's 71-position model. Rfam says of the family: Transfer RNA (tRNA) molecules are approximately 80 nucleotides in length. Their secondary structure includes four short double-helical elements and three loops (D, anti-codon, and T loops). Lineage: Eukaryota; Metazoa; Chordata; Actinopteri; Gadiformes; Gadidae. The record is from RNAcentral.